RNAcentral lists this ribosomal RNA (276 nucleotides) under uncultured SAR86 cluster bacterium. Its description in RNAcentral is "partial 16S ribosomal RNA". It matches the Rfam family "Bacterial small subunit ribosomal RNA", at positions 1257 to 1532 of the family's 1533-position model. The record is from RNAcentral. Lineage: Bacteria; Pseudomonadati; Pseudomonadota; Gammaproteobacteria.
GCGAGGUGGUGCCAAUCCUAGAAAAUUCUUCGUAGUCCGGAUUGGAGUCUGCAACUCGACUCGAUGAAGUCGGAAUCGCUAGUAAUCGCGAAUCAGCAUGUCGCGGUGAAUACGUUCUCGGGUCUUGUACACACCGCCCGUCAUACCAUGGAAGUGGAUUGCACCAGAAGUAGAUAGUCUAACCUUAGGGAGGGCGUUUACCACGGUGUGCUUCAUGACUGGGGUAAAGUCGUAACAAGGUAGCCGUAGGGGAACCUGUGGCUGGAUCACCUCCUU